RNAcentral lists this ribosomal RNA (335 nucleotides) under uncultured Planctomycetales bacterium. RNAcentral's name for it is "bacterial SSU rRNA". It matches the Rfam family "Bacterial small subunit ribosomal RNA", at positions 473 to 806 of the family's 1533-position model. Lineage: Bacteria; Pseudomonadati; Planctomycetota; Planctomycetia; Planctomycetales. The record is from RNAcentral.
CUAAGGCUCCGGAGGAAGCCACGGCUAACUCUGUGCCAGCAGCCGCGGUAAUACAGAGGCGGCAAGCGUUGUUCGGAAUUAUUGGGCGUAAAGAGCACGCAGGCGGCUUUGUAAGUCGGUUGUGAAAGCCUUCCGCUCAACGGGAGAACGGCAGCCGAUACUGCAUAGCUUGAGUGCGGGGGGGGAGAGUGGAACUUCUGGUGGAGCGGUGAAAUGCGUAGAUAUCAGAAGGAACGCCGGCGGCGAAAGCGGCUCUCUGGCCCGUAACUGACGCUGAGUGUGCGAAAGCUAGGGGAGCAAACGGGAUUAGAUACCCCGGUAGUCCUAGCCGUAAA